GUUUUUCGUUCUCUUGUUCUCACUCAGAAGUCUUAGCAUGUCUCCGAUGUGAAGAGUACAAUGAGGAACAUUAGAUGGCACAUGAAGGUAGCAGUAAGGCCUGCCUUUUCUCCCUGAAAGAAUAUAGUGAUAAAGGAUGGUCUGGUGGUGCAGCAGUGCUGACUUACUGGUUAGUGGGUCAUGACGUGGCGCCACAAGCAAUGGAUGUGAAGCGAGCCAAUGCGAAAUUGGUAUACCGCUUGUUGGUGUCCUAGCGGCUGUGACCUGGAAGUAACAGAAUGAUUGCCGCCUUUCCUCUCUGAAAGAAUGCUGUGCAGUGUGCACAUAACAACGAUAAAGGAUGGUCUGGUGGUGCAGCAGUGCUGACUUACUGGUUAGUGGGUCAUGACGUGGCGCCACAAGCAAUGCUGCCAAUGAGAAAUUGGUAUAUUGGUGUCCUAGCAGAUGUAACCUGGAAGUAGCAGAAUGACUGCCGCCUUUCCUCCCUGAAAGAAUGCUGUGCACAGAACGAGUCUGGCAGUGUGGGGUUGACAUGGAGCCACAGGUCAUUGUGGGACAGGUGCUGAAGAUUGGACUGUUUCAGUUGAAGAUGAAAGGUGGCAGUAAUGGGUUGUGCCUUAGAAGAAAGAAAGCAGAUUGUUCAGUUGCCGGUCCGAGACUAGGGUGCCGUCUGAGUAUACAGCUGCCACUAUGAUGCCGUUAAUCACAGCGAGCUCAGUUCAAGUUUGAACCUGGUUAUCACACAAACCCUUCACUCGGUGUGACCUAGGUGAAAUUAGCUCAAUGUACUUGCCCUGUUUGAUUUGAAUAAAUGUAUUGCUUUCAAAAUAAUUCCAAUAAACUCAAGCUGAUCUCAGCUUUUUUGUUUUUUUAA
Oncorhynchus masou masou (cherry salmon) is the source of this 874-nucleotide long non-coding RNA. RefSeq lists it as uncharacterized. The transcript is spliced from 8 exons. Lineage: Eukaryota; Metazoa; Chordata; Actinopteri; Salmoniformes; Salmonidae. The record is from RefSeq and is a predicted model, not a curated record.